AGCGAACGCUGGCGGCAGGCCUAACACAUGCAAGUCGAGCGGGCGUAGCAAUACGUCAGCGGCAGACGGGAGAGUAACACGUGGGAACGUGCCCUUUGGUUCGGAAUAACUCAGGGAAACUUGAGCUAAUACCGGAUAAGCCCUUCGGGGGAAAGAUUUAUUGCCAUUGGAGCGGCCCGCGUCGGAUUAGCUAGUUGGUGAGGUAAUGGCUCACCAAGGCGACGAUCCGUAGCUGGUCUGAGAGGAUGACCAGCCUCACUGGGACUGAGACACGGCCCAGACUCCUACGGGAGGCAGCAGUGGGGAAUAUUGGACAAUGGGCGCAAGCCUGAUCCAGCCAUGCCGCGUGGAUGAUGAAGGCCCUAGGGUUGUAAAGUCCUUUUAACGGGGAAGAUAAUGACGGUACCCGUAGAAUAAGCCCCGGCUAACUUCGUGCCAGCCGCCGCCGUAA
RNAcentral lists this ribosomal RNA (451 nucleotides) under uncultured bacterium. RNAcentral describes it as "partial 16S ribosomal RNA". It matches the Rfam family "Bacterial small subunit ribosomal RNA", at positions 29 to 523 of the family's 1533-position model. The record is from RNAcentral.